This 1859-nucleotide long non-coding RNA is filed under the name Pelobates cultripes (western spadefoot toad). The record is from RNAcentral. Lineage: Eukaryota; Metazoa; Chordata; Amphibia; Anura; Pelobatidae.
GGGUUAAAUCAAAAUAGAUAUCACAAUAGACAUGAUAGUCCACUGUACGUUGCUGGAAAACCUCUACAAUCUCCCCAACUUAUCAAAAUCCAACGAUGUGGUUCUUGUAAAUAGAAAUAGCAAUUUCUUGGUCUAAUGACCAAUGAAGAUCUAAAGACCAAGAAUAUAGCUUUAUUUAGUAUUUAACUCUAUUUUUCAUGUUGAUGGAUACAUCGGUAGAUUGGGUAGCUGGAAGUUGUAAAUUUAUUUCCUACCGUAUUGUAGCUCUGAGAAUCAAUCUCUGGAAAACUUGCCCAUGGUCAUGCAGAUACAUCCUGCCAUAUAACGAUCAUCAUAGUCAAUGUCCAGACCCAUUAAAUGUUUUAACAGCCAGAAGAGAAAAAACAUAACGUAUGAUAUACUUCCUUCAAUUCACCAUUGGAAGCUUCGAUUUAAAAAAUAUAGCAAGUGGUUUAGUAACCAGAUUUUUGAAUCCCUUUCUUGGUCCUUUGAGGGACUGACCCAUAAACAUGUCACUGUCAUUAAAGAAACAAAGUCUCUUGAGGCGAGUAAAACUUGCCUGGGUAUCAAAUUCUACUUACAGCAGCAUGUGCUUGUAGGAGCGAGACGUUUGGCCGCAUAUUCGUAUCUUCCAACUAUUGCUUUUCUAUAAAAACCAGUCUAUUGCAUGAAAUCGAGAAGACGUCAACAGGCUUGAGCAAUAGUUACUUUUAAACUCUAAGAGGGCUGGACAGAAUCGAUAGUUCCAAAAUAACAAUUUUGGGGACUAUAGGUUCCCUUUAAUACAUUAUGGCUUUUAGGAAGGACUCGCCCAUAACAUGUCACUAUCAUUAAUACACUGUGGCCCUAGGAAGGACUGACCCAUAAACAUGUCACUGUCAUUAAUACAUUGUGUCUGUAGGAAGGACUGACCCAUAAACAGGUUGACGUCAAUUAACACACUGGGGCCCUAGCAAGGACUAAUUCAUAAAAAUGUCACUAUCAUUAGAACACAGUGGCCCUAGGAAGGACUGACCCAUAAACAUAUCACUGUCAUUAAUAUAUUAUGUCUGUAGGAAGGACUGACCCAUAAACAGGUUGCCGUCAUUAAUACACUGUGGCCCUUGCAAGGAUUAACCCAUAAACUUGUCACUAUCAUUGGUACACGGUGGCCCUAGUAGGGACUGACUGUUCUCUUAAAUAAUUAUACGUUAUUCUCUUUACUUGUAUGCAAUCCAUUGUUUCCCUUCUUCCGAUAGUUUUGGGUCCCUCUAAUUGUAAAGACGUUUAAUCCCAGUGAUGCUGUGAAAGGACUAAAUACUGAUAAGUCAGAGCUAUGUUUAUAUAACGGUGUCCGCCGUCCCACUGGGACCAAUUUUCAAAAGCCUGUUUGCCUGAGGGCUGGUAUGAGAAGUAACUAUCCACAGAAAUGUUACAGUCACAGUUUAAAAUCUUGCAGCAAGAGAGAAGCAGCUAAUGUUUGUGACAUUUUCCCCAAAUACAUCAGGCUCCCAGUUACACAAUUUCUAAUACAUCAGCAGACGCCAAAGGUGAGACUCCAAAAUUCAACAUUGGGUGGCAGGGCUCAAAUUACCCUCUUUAUACACGUAAUUAGCCCCACUGUUUUGGUAGUAGUUUUUUUGUUUAUUAAAGAUAUAGAGACAUUCUACAUACAUUUAAAGUGAGCAUACUUACUUUUUCACUAAAUAAUGUUAAGACUAGCACAUUCCUGAGAAUGCAUGAGACCACUGCAUCAUGCUGACGUAUCUCUAGUGCAGCGUUUCCCAAUUGGUGUUCCGCGAACCCUGGGGUUCUGCAAAAACACAAAUGGGGUUCCGCCACAAUAUCGGGAAACAAAAUUUGCAAGAACACAAAUGGGG